Poecilia reticulata (guppy) is the source of this 213-nucleotide non-coding RNA. The record is from RefSeq and is a predicted model, not a curated record. NCBI's taxonomy places the organism in Eukaryota, Metazoa, Chordata, Actinopteri, Cyprinodontiformes, Poeciliidae.
CAGCACAAAGAGCAGAAUGAUGAUGGGCUGCAGCACAAAGAGCAGAAUGAUGAUGGGCUGCAGCACAAAGAGCUGGCUCAGCGUUUCCUGCCAGGAACCAGCAAUGCAUCUCUGCAAACACACCUGAGGACCAGUGAGGGCAGCAUCACAUGYUGGCGCUGCAGCCACACACCUGUAAUAAAUCUGGGAUCAUUAAAUCAGAUUACAUAAAUC